CGACAUCAGCCAAGCGAGACUACCCGCUGAACUUAAGCAUAUCAGUAAGCGGAGGAAAAGAAACUAACAAGGAUUCCAUUAGUAACUGCGAGUGAAAAUGGAUUAGCCCAAGGUUGAAUCUGGCUGGCCUACGCUAGUCCGAAAUGUAACCUAAGGAUUGGGGAUGUCUGGUGUUGAGCGUGAGCAAUUUUAGUGGAAACUAAAGCCAUAGAAGGUGAUAGCCCUGUACUCAUUACGCUACAAUGCCGGAAUCUUUUCCUCGAUUCCACGAGUAGGAAUGUUUGAAAUUGCAUUCUGAAUGGGUGAUAAGACGCAUCCAAGGCUAAAUAUAAGUUAGGAGACCGAUAGCAUACAAGUACUGUGAAGGAAAGGUGCAAAGGACUUUGAAAAAAGGGUUAAAAGCAUUUGAAACCAUUUAUGUGGAAGCGAUUGAUCUAGCUACUCGCAACAGAUAGGGUGUUAGUGGAAGCUUGGAUUAGUUGGUACUUGAUUGGUGGUAUGAAGCGUAAAAAACUUUAUAUUGUCUUUUGAGUGUUGACGGAUUUUCAAGUUAUUACCAUUGGUACCUGUUGCCAGCCGCCAUGAUACGUCAGUUUAGUAGUCUGUAUUGAGAGUUUCUUGGCUUGCCUUGAAACUUCUUUAUGGGAGAAAAAUUGAUUGUUAUGGUCCGAUUGUUAAGGUUAGCCAAUUUAUUUGUUAUGGUGGUUAAUAGUUUUUAGUUUGUUGUAAGUGUUCACCGAUCGGACAUUAGUCUGGUUGAAUGACCUGAUGGCAAGUUAGAGGCUAUUGGACUAUUAUGAUAGAAGCGGUUAGCUGAAAUUAAUUGGUUGGAAUGAGAGGUAGACAAUCGUCCCGUCUUGAAACACGGAUCAAGGAGGCUCCUUUAUGUGCGAGUUUAAGGGUGAUUAAAACCCGGAGGCGUAUUGAAAGAAAGAAUACUCUGAAAGAUCGUAUGUAAAUACCUUCUGUAAAGAGUGCCCGGAUCAUGAGGAUUCUAUUCCGAAAGGAUCUGCGGUUGAGCACAUAGAGGAGGACCCGAAAGGAUGUGAACUAUGCUUGAGGAAGGCGAAGCCAGGGGAAACUCUGGUGGAGGCUUGUAGCGAUACUGACGUGCAAAUCGUUCGUCUAACUUGAGUAUAGGGGCGAAAGACUAAUCGAACAUCCUAGUAGCUGGUUCCUCUCGAAGUUUCCCUCAGGAUAGCUGGAACCCAUAGACCACUAUUACCGUCCUGUAAAGAUAUUGAUUAGCAGACUCGGGGGUGUAACGCCUUCAGCUGAUUCUCAAACUUUGAACGGGCGGAACUUGAUGCGGUUGUUUUUAAUUAACAGUCGUCUCAAAGAGAAAGCGUGACAAACUUUCUCUGAAUAUAGUAGGUUCCUAGUGGGCCAUUUUUGGUAAGCAGAACUGGCGAUGUGGGAUGAACCAAAUGUUGGGAUAAGGCGCCCAACAACUGCUAAUAGAUACCACAAAAGGUGUUAGUUCAUUAUGACAGCUGGACUGUGGCCAUGGAAGUCGGCAUCAGCUAAGAAGUGUGUAACAACUUACCAGCCAAAUGAACUAGUCCUGAAAAUUGAUGGCGCUAUAGCAGUUGGCCGAUGCCCAACCGUUAAAGUGAUUUAAAACACAUUUUAACGAGUAGAGAGGCGUGGAGGUAACGUAGAAGUAUGGCUGUAGAGUCGUAUGGAGUUGCCUCUAGUGCAGAUCUUGAUGGUAGUAGCAAAUAUUCAAAAGAACGACUUCACUUUGAAGGCCGAAGUGGAGAAGGGUUCCAUAACAAUGGAAUUCAUUUAUGGGUGAGUCGGUCCUAAGCCUUGGGUGAAAACUCUCAAAUAUGGUAUACUUGUCUGAAUUGGUUGGCUGGUAGCAAUACUGGUUGAUUGGUUUGGAGUAAAACUUGUAUACUGUAAGGGCGAAAGGUAAUCGAAUUAAAAUUUUCGAACCAAUAACCAAGAGUUGACGGGUAACCAAUUAUAGUGUGACUAUCAAUUGUGGGCGGAGGCAGAGUUAUCUUUUCUAUCUAACACCAAUUUACUUCCUAAAAAAAAGUUUGGGGUCCACCGAAUCAGGUCAACUGGAGAAGUGGUUCCUAUGGUGAAAUAGUACUAACCAUUGGUUAGUAUCUCCUGUCCUACAAUUGGUCCUUGAAAAUCACUCUAUAGAUAAAAGUGUAGUUCGCUAUGCUGGCUCUUGAUUAUUGUCCGUACCAAUAACCACAUCAGGUCUCCAAGGUGAAUAGCCUCUGGCCAAAUGUAUUAAUGUAGAUAAGGGAAGUCGGCAAAACCGAUCCGUAACUUCGGGAUAAGGAUUGGCUCUAAAGACUGGUUUCGUCGACUAUAGAAAGACCGAUUGGAUUGGGUCGAGAUUGUUAGGGGCAACUUUGACAGUUUCUUCUUGUCUGGUUGGUAGCGUUUUAUAGCGGUGCUUGGGGGCAACUUCAGGUACCAUCUUCGGCGAUUCAUUUAACAGUUAAUUUAGAACUGUAACGAUCACCGGGAAUCCAACUGUUUAAUUAAAACAAAGCAUUGUGAGUAGCCUAACGGCCAUUGACACAAUGUGAUUUCUGCCCAGUGCUCUGAAUGUCAAAGUGAAGAAAUUCAAAGUAGCAC
Molecule: non-coding RNA, 2607 nt
Organism: Trichophyton benhamiae CBS 112371
Lineage: Eukaryota; Fungi; Ascomycota; Eurotiomycetes; Onygenales; Arthrodermataceae
Source: Rfam